CUCUACAGAAGCGGGCCAGUUUCUAAAGUGGCACCAGUCAGACGACCUUGACCGUGAAGCCGAGCUUCAGGAGGCCCGCCAUUCACCGUCCCCACCUGGCAGUGCUACCCCCACACCUGGCAGGAACGUUUCACAUCGUGUGUCUCUCAGGCAGAGUUUUUAACUCGCAGGCUUCAGGACUUAACUAUUUCUAUCCUGCUUGCUAAAAUGCACCCUGUGUUGGGGCUCUCUGCUCACCUAGCAUCCUCCUCGGUGGACAGAGUUCUUCGAGGGCAGGGGAAAUUUAUCUUGACGGCCCCAGUGCCUUCACGCUGCCUGGCAAGUGAAUCCCAAAUGCUUAAGAAGAUAAAGCACAAUGGUUAAGUAUGAAGCACUCAGGUUAGUGGGGCCGUCUCUGAAUAGACCCUCUUGACCACUGAUUAUCUAUGUGACCUUGAACAAGCUCACUCCCCUAUGGGUCUCAACUCCUCUUCUAUAAAACAGGGCUAAUAAUACUGUGCGUUAUGUAUAUUCGUGAAGUGGUGCAUCCAAACCACUUAGUGUGGAUUCGCACACUGGUUAAGCUUCCAGUGGCUGUCAGUCAUGAUUAUUUUCCCCUUCUUCCUCCUCCUCCUCCUCCUUUCUCUUAUUCAACUGGUCAUCAUGGCAGAUUGACAUUAUUUGCUCUGAAAUAAAUGAGGAUAUUUUUAAGAGAUUAUAGGCAAAAAAAACACAACCAAAAAAGUCAUAUACAAGCAACUUAGGAUUCUUGAAAAUGGAGGAUUACCCUGUGGGUAAUAGAGAUUUGAAGGGCAGGUGUUAUUUUUGCAUGAACUGUAGAAUCUAAGAAAGUAUCACAAUUCAAUGGAGAAAUUAUUGAUGGACAUAUUUUCAGCAUGACUGAGAGAUUUUAGAGAAGCUGAAUUAAAACCAGACACUGUAUUAGGGAUCAACAUACACAGGAUGUGCAAUCAGACCUCUUGCUUCUCCAGCCACAUAGCCUUGUGAGUGUGUUUGGACUCAGAGAGUCUAACAGCCAAUUUACAAACCUGCUGGGACAUACUGUAUUUUUCAGGAUUAAGAAUUCCUCUCUUCAUAAGAUUGAGUUUCAGGGGAAGACACUUUGCCUAGGGGCUGGGGCAGACUAGUCCACGGAUGCCAAGGAAUUGGAACACCGAGUCAGCUCUAUCCAGAGGGUUUCAAGCCAAGGAGACAUCUCCCCUCCCCCUUUUCUGCUGGCAUUGGCAUGACCUUGGGAUGUCACAGGUCUGUCCCAUCCUUGGGACUCUCUGCAAUCAGAGUGUUACUGAACACAGGACCACCAUUCUAGGGAGAGGGUAGCAGCUGAGAAGAGGUGAGGGCAGAACAAUGCUUACUUCUACCCAUCCCAGCCCAACCACAAAAGAGCAAAAAGAGAACUGCGUUAUCACGACAGUGCCCUGGGCUCAAAUAAAAUCCCAAGGGAAUACAAAACAAAUUGGUGCAGUUCUCAUCGACUGCAUGUUACAAGUCGUUAAGUUCUAUCAAUUAAAGGAAGGAUGAGUCCUCAGACUCUCCUUGCACCCCCUCCUCCUUCCGUGGGUGGUGGGUCUCCUAACCACCUACUUUGGGCUUGCUCAUUUUUAGCGCUGAGGGUCCACCCCCAGAAAAUGCCAUCCGAUAUGACAAUAGGAACUCGCCAAAUAUCAGGCUGUGACCCAAGAGACAUCAGCCUACCAGGCCCUGAAAAAAAAAAAAAAAAAAAGGUGUUUUAACCCAAAUACCAAUCCUGUAUAAUAAAAGAACCACAAAAAGAAUAAAAGCAAUUCCCACUUAGUCUACAGCGUGGCCCGUGCACAUGGCACAUGAUCAUCUCCCUAUCACAAGAACAAUAAUCAGACACACAGGGGUUUCUAUGGCCAGAAUUCUAUGUUUUACAUAUAAUAAUAAUUCAUUUAUCACCCAGAGCAGCACUAUAAGGAAAUUUUAAUCCUACAACAACUCCAUUAGGUGGGGAGCUAUUAUGUUCCUUUUACAACCCAAAGCUUAAAGACAUGAGGGUUAUUCAAACCAUACAUCUGGUAAAUACAGGCUUGUGGAUUCAAAGCCAGGUUGCCUGAUCUGGGUUCAAAUUCAAAUCUAUUUAUAUUCAAAUACAGGCUUCUUCCAAAUUAAUGUUCAGUUGUGAUAGUCUCUUGAGUGGGUUGGAAGAGCCUAGAGAAAGAAGGGGAAAAAAAAAUGGAACCCAGACUUGGAGUCACCCAGGGGAAGUGUGAAAGUCUAAGAGUUGGUGAAUAGGGAGACCCCCCCAUCCCACACAAAUUAGUAGAAAACUGGGCUUUUCAUUAUUGUGUUCCUUAAAUGAUAUUUGAACACAGUAGCAUGCUGGUAAAUUGGCUUGCGUGGGGGUGGGGAGCCCUGGCUUGUACUGUUUGUCAAUUUUCAUGGUGUAAAUACUCCCACCAUAGCUGAUUUCAAGGUUUCAACAGUAACAACCUGUUUCAAUGAUUCCUGAAUAUUUAACAAUUGGUUCUUGCCAGAUAGCUGGAGCUGCCCUCAGCACAUCACAGUUUGGGCCCAAGCAAUGGAUUCCCCUGCCACCUCCAGAAGCCAUAUCAUUUUAGAAUGCCUCUACUUUCAGGACAGCCUUCCUCUUUCUGGUUAAACUCUAGUUCUCGGAUGCUUCAAGGUCUUAGAUUACCUCCUGUAUCUUUCUUGCUCUCCCUCUCAAACUGUGUGCUUGUACUUUUUGUAUUUAAUGAAACAUGUUUUUACGUUUGUGGUUCUUGAUUUUAAAGGAAGAUGAGACAUUUACAUUGCUCUUCCUUUGACUGUCUAAUAAACCUAAGAAAUGUGUGUAGCUUUUUAAGUGGGAGCGACCCUUGACUGAGAGAAUCGGUCAGCCUUUGGGAGAAAUGAGGAGCCUGCAGAUGUAUGUUCACAGGUGCCCACUGCCACACACAUCCACUCAAUAAUACUUACUGCAAGCCUUGUAUAGCCAGGAGCAUGUAUGAGCACACUACACUCACCAUUUUGGAUUUGCACCUGUUGCUAAGGGCUCCCCUAUGCUUUAGCCAGGGCAGAAUAUUUUGAGUCCUCAACAGCCAUGCAAAGUCACUCUGUAAGUACACGAUUACCAUGAAGUCAUGAUAUGAAUUCAAACCUAGCAGAUUAAAUUGCAAUUACCCUUAGAGAAAGCAUGUAACUCUUGGGAUAAUCACAUUAUGGGUAAUAUUUUUUUAGAUCUAUGGGGGCACUAAUUUGUAAAGAACAUACAACCAAAGGAAUAAUUGCAGCAAGGGGCUAAAAGGUAAUGACAAAAUAAUUGCAUGUUAUUUGAUCCUUCCAUGAAAACAUGUCUAAUAGAAGAUUCCUCUAAACUGUUUCUUGUACCUGUGGAACAUUUGAAAGUUAUUCUUUUUCCCUUAGUUCUAUUUAAUGCUGAGCCAUAACUCUUUUGAAUAAUCUUGUUUGCUAAAAUAUACUAAAGAGUAGCCUCUAAGCAUAGGUUAGAAACUCAAUUGGAAACUUGAUUUUUCUCCCUUACGCUAUGUAAAGGUUAUUUGCUUUUAAAAGUUGAUGGUGAAUGCAGUCUAUUUUGGAAAAAUAUAUAUAGCAGUGCAAACUUCUUGUUUGUUUAUUAAGGUAGGGAUCUUGCUAGCAUCUAGAUGUGCUUGCAAAAUGCUCCCCCAGUAUCACUAACUUAUUCCAUUUCAUUCUAAUAACAAGUCUGACUGUAUUUCUCUCUCCGUCUCCUUUCUCAUGUCAAGAAUGAAAGCUAAAAGACACCAGAGAUAAAAGUAAAUGAGUGCAUGCAUAUGGUAUGGAAGAGGGAUCACUGAGCUAGGAGAUAAAAGAUACUGGGCAAAUUACUCACCUUCUCCAUCUCAGGCUUAUUAAUUUUAAGCUGAGAAUGCCUACAUUUUGUGAGUAAUUCACACAAAUGCAUAAUGCUUGUGAAUGUGCUUUAAAAACCUGGAAGUGCUGUCUUAAAAUACAGGCAAUAAUUAUAAUCAUAUUCUUAAAAUUUUUGAGUAAAUUAUAGUAAUCGAACACGAUCUUACCAUAUACCACUGCUCCUUCUCCACCCCUCACUGCUCCUAGACCCUGCCUGCCUCCUAUUCCAUCCUGCCUUUGGCAAUUUCUUGUUCUAAUCAUGCUUUGCAAAUGGUCAAGAACAAAAAGCUGCAAAAAGCUAAAUCUUGUAGAACUCUUAUUCUUUGUUAUCUUAGCAGGAGAUUAAGUUAAUUACUGUUUCACUUCUACCUUUAGGACAUUUCAGGGUUUUUCCUUGAAGGAUACUACUGCUAGCUACAAUCCACUGCAUAUAGACACUAAGAGUUAAAAUUGGCAGAGGUCCUGUUGUAGCACAGCAGAAGUUAAACCGACUAGUAUCCAUGAGGACAUGGGUUUGAUCCCUGGCCUUGCUCAGUGGGUCAAGGAUCUGACAUUGCUGUGGCUUUGGCUGUGGCCGGCAGUGACAGCUCCAAUUUAACCACUAGCCUGGGAACUUCCAUAUGCUGAGGGUGCGGCCCUAGGGGGAAAAAUUGUUUAAUUGGCAAGAAUUAGAACUUUUGAACAUCACCAGUAUUCCUGAUAUAUUCCAGGUGGUGAACUUUAGAAAUAUGUUUUAUACCUGCAAUUGAAACAAGGCGUUCCAUGCCUUUGUAAAAUUAUCUACUUACAAAGCAUUUUGCUAAAUGGACUCAUUUCUCUCCCAUCCUCAGAGAACAUGGCGCUGGGCAAUGGCAAUCCCUGGGUAGAAGCAGAAUCAAUUUUCUGUUCUCUGAUCCUUUAUGUCACUAAUGCUUAUUCCAAUGAUAAUUCAAAAUGGAACCAGCCAGUGUUCAUUUAUCACUCAAUGUACUACUGUUUCCAUAAUCAGUUAAACAGUGUUACAGCCAUCAAAAUUAUUUCCUAAGUCUAAAAGAGCUGAAGUGGUCAGUCUUCUUAGGUUAAGAAUAACAUAAUGAGGAGUUCCUACUGUGGUGCAAUGGGAUUGGCGGCAUGUCUGCAGCUCCAGCACGCAGGAUCGUUCCUGGCCAAGCACCAUAGGUUAAAGGAUCCUGCAUUGCCACAGCUGUGGAGUAGUCACAACUGUGGCUCAGAUCUGAUUUCUGGCCCAGGAACUCCAUAUGCUGCAGGGUGACCAAAAAA
RNAcentral lists this long non-coding RNA (5115 nucleotides) under Sus scrofa (pig). RNAcentral describes it as "lncRNA (ENSSSCG00060052050.1)". The record is from RNAcentral. Lineage: Eukaryota; Metazoa; Chordata; Mammalia; Artiodactyla; Suidae.